GACGAACGCUGGCGGCGUGCCUAACACAUGCAAGUCGAGCGGGGUUGAGGCGAGAGGUAACUCGAGCUUCUACCUAGCGGCGGACGGGUGAGUAACGCGUGGGCAACCUGCCUCAAGGUUUGGGAUAACAGCCCGAAAGGGCUGCUAAUACCGGAUAUGCCUAUGGCCUCGCAUGGGGCUAUGAGCAAAGGGGAAACCCGCCUUGAGAUGGGCCCGCGUCCCAUCAGCUAGUUGGUGAGGUAACAGCUCACCAAGGCGACGACGGGUAGCCGGCCUGAGGGGUGACCGGCCACACUGGGACUGAGACACGGCCCAGACUCCUACGGGGGCAGCAGUGGGGGAUCUUGCACAAUGGGCGAAAGCCUGAUGCAGCGACGCCGCGUGAGCGAAGAAGGCCUCGGGUUGUAAAGCUCUGUCUGGAGGGACGGAACAAAUAGACGGUACCUCCGGAGGAAGCCGACGGCGUAACUACGUGCCAGCAGCCGCGGUAAACCUGUAGUCGU
Molecule: ribosomal RNA, 503 nt
Filed under: uncultured bacterium
Lineage: Bacteria
Description: bacterial SSU rRNA
Rfam family: Bacterial small subunit ribosomal RNA
Source: RNAcentral